Molecule: RNA transcript, 1512 nt
Organism: Ipomoea nil (Japanese morning glory)
Lineage: Eukaryota; Viridiplantae; Streptophyta; Magnoliopsida; Solanales; Convolvulaceae
Gene name: acetyl-CoA acetyltransferase, cytosolic 1-like
Exons: 4
Source: RefSeq, a predicted model, not a curated record
GUCCCAAAAAGCGGUUUGCUGAGGGCCCACCAUCUAGGGCUGCGGAUUUCGAUCAAUCCUCGAGAGCUGACGAGAUUGAUAACUUGGAAUCAGCAAAGAAACCCUUAUUAUCGUACAAUUUUACUCCUGCUUCUGCUCGUUCAAAGCAUGGUACUUUCGGAGCCGGUGGUGAAGCAUCUACGGCUGACAACUGGGGCGCCUCGAAGAAACCCGUUGCUCCACCGCCUGCCAGAUCUUCGACUUUUGGUUCGGGAAUCAGAGACUCGAGGCCUGAACCUAUGCGCUGGUUGCGGGAUGGAGUUGAGAGAUUGGUUUUGGAAUCACCUGAAAAUGAACAGGGAGGUGACAAUGUGAAUGAGGUGCACAAGCCUAACCCAGAGGAGGUGCUGCUGGCAGAGAAAGGUACUUGAAAAAGAUGGAUAUGGAGAUCGAGGUGAAAUUAACUACUAGUAGACCAACAAAUGCGCAAUCUGAAGGAUCUGCAUUGCAUGGUAUGCUUGAAGUACAGGAGUCAGGAGGCAUCAAGGUCAAGAGCAAAGCUGGAUCCUUUCGCUAGUACCAGGGUUAGGGAGGUAUUGCUCGAGGUGAAGGGCAUAGAUCAGACGAAGAUUGGUUUGGACUCAAAGCAACAAUGCAAUGGCAGACCAGAGUCUGAAGAUGAGAAGAAAUUGAAAGAAGAAAUAGAGAGCUUGAAAAAGGAGGCCUCUGGUGAAGACCAGACUCGCUUGCAUCAGCUGAUAAAUCAAAAUGAAAAAGACUCGAAUGUGCUGGUCUAUGACUCGGACAAAAUUCAUCUUAGUGAGAAAGGCAUGGAAAGGCCAGGUUCAGGGUCAAGCAGAGUUUCUAGCUUUCCUGAGAGACCCCCUUCUCAGCGAGGAUCUUUUGGUGAACACAGAAGUGAUGAGUUUGUGGAGAGGCCUAAACAGCAUGGCACACAAGAUGCAUUGUCAAGGCCAUUUGAUGAUAGAAUAGCCUUCCACGCUGGUAGAACAUGUGGUAGGCCAAGCAAUGACUGAUGAUCUUUUCAGGGUUGUAGAGAGAGAGGAUUACUUAGCAGCAGGGACAUGGAUGAGAGGUCAAUAUCCAACAACAUAUGGUGAAUUUCAACUGCAGCGGUUUCUCUAAUAUCUGACAAAGUAGUGCAGAAUAGUUUUUACCAUCUAAUUUUACUGUGAGGAUUGAAGCUAGAAUGGUUGAACGCUGGCACACCUUUGCGGUGAUUUUUGACACAUCUUGAAUCUGUGUAGAAUUGCAAUUUUGCACCCUUCCGCUCUGUCUAAGAGGCAUGGAAUGGUUUUGCUUUUUGGUCAGAAACACUAAUUUAACAACACCGCAUAUGCUCUUGCGGUCUUCUUCUUUUGGGUUUUACCUAAAUUCGUGCGGCAGGCGGCCAGCCAGCCACCAUGGCGGUCCACCCAAGCCAAUAUAUAUAGCCGCCUCUGUUUCCCAUUCAAUUCGCUUCAUAUCACUCAUUCUCCCUCCCAAGGAACCAACACUACAAUCAACACAGGU